GACGAACGCUGGCGGCGUGCCUAAUACAUGCAAGUUGAGCGCUGAAGGUUGGUACUUGUACCGACUGGAUGAGCAGCGAACGGGUGAGUAACGCGUGGGGAAUCUGCCUUUGAGCGGGGGACAACAUUUGGAAACGAAUGCUAAUACCGCAUAAAAACUUUAAACACAAGUUUUAAGUUUGAAAGAUGCAAUUGCAUCACUCAAAGAUGAUCCCGCGUUGUAUUAGCUAGUUGGUGAGGUAAAGGCUCACCAAGGCGAUGAUACAUAGCCGACCUGAGAGGGUGAUCGGCCAAAUUGGGACUGAGACACGGCCCAAACUCCUACGGGAGGCAGCAGUAGGGAAUCUUCGGCGAUGGACGAAAGUCUGACCGAUCAACGCCGCGUGAGUGAGGAAGGUUUUCGGAUCGUAAAACUCUGUUGGUAGAGAAGAACGUUGGUGAGAGUGGAAAGCUCAUCAAGUGACGGUAACUACCCAGAAAGGGACGGCUAACUACGUGCCAGCCGCCGCAGUAA
RNAcentral lists this ribosomal RNA (513 nucleotides) under uncultured bacterium. Its description in RNAcentral is "partial 16S ribosomal RNA". It matches the Rfam family "Bacterial small subunit ribosomal RNA", at positions 28 to 523 of the family's 1533-position model. The record is from RNAcentral.